RNAcentral lists this ribosomal RNA (254 nucleotides) under uncultured bacterium. RNAcentral describes it as "partial 16S ribosomal RNA". It matches the Rfam family "Bacterial small subunit ribosomal RNA", at positions 524 to 776 of the family's 1533-position model. The record is from RNAcentral.
UACGGGGGGAGCAAGCGUUGUUCGGAUUUACUGGGCGUAGAGGGCGCGUAGGCGGCCAGUACAAGUCAGUUGUGAAAUCUCCGGGCUUAACUCGGAAAGGUCAACUGAUACUGUGCGGCUAGAGUGCAGAAGGGGCAACUGGAAUUCUCGGCGUAGCGGUGAAAUGCGUAGAUAUCGAGAGGAACACCUGCGGCGAAGGCGGGUUGCUGGGCUGACACUGACGCUGAUGCGCGAAAGCCAGGGGAGCGAACGGG